Molecule: ribosomal RNA, 500 nt
Filed under: uncultured bacterium
Lineage: Bacteria
Description: partial 16S ribosomal RNA
Rfam family: Bacterial small subunit ribosomal RNA
Source: RNAcentral
AUUGAACGCUGGCGGCAUGCCUUACACAUGCAAGUCGAACGGCAGCACGGACUUCGGUCUGGUGGCGAGUGGCGAACGGGUGAGUAAUACAUCGGAACGUGCCCAGUAGUGGGGGAUAACUAUUCGAAAGAGUAGCUAAUACCGCAUACGACCUACGGGUGAAAGUGGGGGAUCGCAAGACCUCAUGCUAUUGGAGCGGCCGAUGUCAGAUUAGCUAGUUGGUGAGGUAAAAGCUCACCAAGGCGACGAUCUGUAGCUGGUCUGAGAGGACGACCAGCCACACUGGGACUGAGACACGGCCCAGACCCCUACGGGAGGCAGCAGUGGGGAAUUUUGGACAAUGGGCGCAAGCCUGAUCCAGCAAUGCCGCGUGUGUGAAGAAGGCCUUCGGGUUGUAAAGGACUUUUGUCAGGGAGGAAAUCCCUAGUGCUAAUAACACUGGGGGAUGACAGUACCUGAAGAAUAAGCACCGGCUAACUACGUGCCAGCCGCCGCAGUAA